Molecule: long non-coding RNA, 782 nt
Filed under: Homo sapiens (human)
Lineage: Eukaryota; Metazoa; Chordata; Mammalia; Primates; Hominidae
Description: HSALNT0039970
Source: RNAcentral
UACGUGAGUUUGGACACUCACUGCAGAAGUCCCUCCAGGUCCCUUUUCAACUGAGUUGUGGGGGACUUGCUUAGUCCUCACGCCCAGGGUCAGGGGAGGGGUGCAGAGUCUGCACCCUAAAUCCGCUAGGGCCAGAGGGAGGUCUCCCAGGUGACCUCUGUCCUCUCCAGUGACAUGAGUCCUCCCAGAUGGCCUCAGCCCUCUCAGGUGACAUGCUUCCAUGGUGACUCUGGCCCUUGCAGGAGGUGGGCUAGCACAGGGACAUGAGCUGCCUAACUGCCAUCCUCCUCCUGUAUCUGCCAGAGGAAGACACCUUCUGGGCACUGGAUCAGCUGAUGGCUGAGGAGAGGCACUCCCUGCAGGGUAGGCGGACAGCUACCCCCAGACCUCACACAGCCAGGCCAUGGGAUGGCCACCCUGGCUGGGCGAUCCUGACUUCCAGGCAAGGCAGCUUCCUUGCUUUCCAGCUUGUCAGGAGCCUUCAGGACAUCCCUGCUGAGGGUCCCACAGGAGCCCAGAGCUGAACAGGGACCCUUUCACUUCAAGGCAGGCACCUUUCAUCCCCAACAGCAGAGGGCACUGCAGCCUCCCCCUGGCCACCCGGUGUGUCCCAGAGCCACAGCUCUCUAGCCCUGAGUUCAUGCAGGUGACUGUCACUUCCGCAAGAGUCCUCCUACCUCCCAGCUGGCCACACUCCCAGCUGCCGUCCCAGCCCACAGAUGGGCCAAUGCAGUCGAGAUGGCAGUGUCUGCCCAACCCAUGUCCCCCAGCCCGACCCCAUG